Molecule: ribosomal RNA, 301 nt
Filed under: uncultured bacterium
Lineage: Bacteria
Description: partial 16S ribosomal RNA
Rfam family: Bacterial small subunit ribosomal RNA
Source: RNAcentral
CAGUAGCCACGGUAAUACGGAGGGAGCUAGCGUUGUUCGGAAUUACUGGGCGUAAAGCGCGCGUAGGCGGUUACUCAAGUCAGAGGUGAAAGCCCGGGGCUCAACCCCGGAACUGCCUUUGAAACUAGGUGACUAGAAUCUUGGAGAGGUCAGUGGAAUUCCGAGUGUAGAGGUGAAAUUCGUAGAUAUUCGGAAGAACACCAGUGGCGAAGGCGACUGACUUGACAAGUAUUGACGCUGAGGUGCGAAAGCGUGGGGAGCAAACAGGAUUAGAUACCCCUGUAGUCCCUGUCUCUUAUAC